UGUCUAUAUAUUCAUAUAAUAUUCAUAUAAAGUGCCAUACUAACUAGUCUGAACAAGACAUUUUCACUCUCCUCGUACAUACAGCAACUUAUUUAUUUAAAAACAACAAAACAUCCACAAGAGUCUUUUUGUAAUAGUUAACAAAUGCACAAUAAAUAUGCAUUCAACAACUGCAUUUCCCAAAUUUCCUUUUUGCCUAUGCAACGGCUUAAUGAGUAACCUGAUAUGGCCGGUAACUUCCAUGAGAAAACAAAGAUUUUUUUUUUUUUUUUUUUGAGAUUUACACCCUCCCUUCUCCUGGCUUUUUCCUUCUGUUUCUCUGACAACAGCCCACUCUAUUUAAACCAGCGCCUUGACCCACCCUGCACAGACUCUGAACCUAAACCUGAAGCUUGGUCAAUAUGGAAACAAAAUCAAUGGAGCUUGGAAAAAUGGAUACAUCCCCCAGGAAUGAGCCCACUUAUCUUGCCUGGUCCAUCUUCAACACUUUUUGUUGCUGUUUGCCACUUGGAAUUGCAGCAAUCGUCUACUCAUGCAGAGUAGACAAUGCUAAUACUCUUGGAGAUGCUGGAAAAGCUCAAGAGUCCUCCAGGAUAGCAAAGAACCUGAAUAUUGCUUCACUGGUGCUGGGGCUCAUUGGUUUAAUUUUGGUGAUUGUAAUGCUAGUGAUUUAAAAAAAAAUGUAAGCAAGCUUGUGAAGGAAUUUUUUUUUUUUUUGCUAUUCAAACAUCACUGAACUUCACUACUCAACUCCAGAGAUGAUGAAGACCAGCUGUGGCUUCAAAAUUAAAUAAGCAAUGGCCACACAAAGUUGCUUAUAUUUUGGGGUUUAUGCUACAGAAAUAUAAAUUUGAUUAGUUAAAAAAUGUCUUUGAAAACUGUAAAAGUCCCAAGUUUAAAACUAAAUCUGUUUAAAAAAGCAAAAAAUUGUUCAUACAUGUGAAUGAUGUUUUAUGACAGAUAAUGUAAUGAAAUCUCAUUCAAAUUAAUGAAAUCUUCAUUUUAAUUAGUCUAGUCAUUUUACAAUGAAGUACAUUUACGAUGCGCUGUAUUCAAAGUACCAUAAUCACAUAACUAUGUUAAACAUUUACAUGUAUAAAUAUAAAUGGUAAAUGGUGUAUGUAAUGGUUUUCUCCAAUUAUGUUCUAUCAUUUUAUUCACAAGUAUUUUUUUACAUACUUAAUAAGCCAUAAAAAUGUACCAACUUGGUUCUCAUAUUUUAUGCUUUGGUCAAGUAACUUCUCUAUUAUAUAUGUAAAAUAUUGCCAUGCACUCAAGUAUGUACUUUUUCUUAUGUCACUACUACAUCAAUGUCUAUUAAAAUUUAUUUCAUCCAUCUA
Megalobrama amblycephala (Wuchang bream) is the source of this 1340-nucleotide long non-coding RNA. RefSeq lists it as uncharacterized. Lineage: Eukaryota; Metazoa; Chordata; Actinopteri; Cypriniformes; Xenocyprididae. The record is from RefSeq and is a predicted model, not a curated record. The transcript is spliced from 2 exons.